GCUCUUUAAAAAAGCUUAAUGAUGUAUGGAUAAGUGAGAGAUGAUAACUCGACAAAGAAAAUAAAGAUGAGAGAAGGUAGCUUGAUGAAGAAGGCAAUUGAAAAUGAGGAAGCGAGGGGAUAAGGGGGUUCUAAGGCUUAUAUUGGAGGUUUUUUUUUAAUAUGUGAACUGGUUCAAACCAGUCCACAUUAAUUUUACAAACCACAUCAUAUGUCAUGUGGCAUCCAUUAGCACAACAGUGAAUGAGAAGGUGUCUUGUGUUAUUAAAUUUGAUACGUGAAACUAACGUUAACAAUCUCAACAAUGAGUUAAAGAGAUUGAC
RNAcentral lists this long non-coding RNA (322 nucleotides) under Carica papaya (papaya). RNAcentral describes it as "long non-coding RNA (CPAP_LNC010843)". Lineage: Eukaryota; Viridiplantae; Streptophyta; Magnoliopsida; Brassicales; Caricaceae. The record is from RNAcentral.